UACGAAGGGGGCUAGCGUUGCUCGGAAUUACUGGGCGUAAAGCGCACGUAGGCGGCUUUCUAAGUCGGGGGUGAAAUCCUGGAGCUCAACUCCAGAACUGCCUUCGAUACUGGAAGCUUGAGUCCGGGAGAGGUGAGUGGAACUGCGAGUGUAGAGGUGAAAUUCGUAGAUAUUCGCAAGAACACCAGUGGCGAAGGCGGCUCACUGGCCCGGUACGUGACGCUGA
This 226-nucleotide ribosomal RNA is filed under the name uncultured bacterium. RNAcentral's name for it is "partial 16S ribosomal RNA". It matches the Rfam family "Bacterial small subunit ribosomal RNA", at positions 524 to 749 of the family's 1533-position model. The record is from RNAcentral.